GGCCAGCAAAUAUUAUGCCUUAAAAAAAGGCGUAAGAAGGAGAAACUGGGUUCAAAAACAUGGAUGAAAAUUCAAAUAACUUGGAAAGCAGAGAUUAAUAAAUAGAGGAAGAGUAAAGUAGGAUUUGUCCUUUUCUUCGUGACUUACACAUUUAAGUAUUAAUUAAAUUGAAGAUUUAAGUAUUUUUUAAACUGAGAGUUCAUGGGGAGAGAAAAUCCAGCUGUUGAAGACCUCCAAAGCCUGAUGCAGCUGUAGCAGCUCUGAUGUGAUAAGGAAGCUUAACAUGCAGACAAAACGCCAUUCCCUUCAGAGGAACCUCUGUAUGUUCUCCAGAUCCUUCCUAAAACCCAGCCAAGUGAAAUCGCCCUCCUGCAAGGGCUGCCAACAAUCAGCAGCGGGCUCACGUACCUGCCAAGGGUGCCACCGCGUGGACAGUCAUGUCAGUGAUGGAGAGAUAUGAAGAUUCGCAAUGCAAAAGAAGAGUAAAGCACAAAUCCUCCUGCCUCAUACUCUGCAGCUUUGCCAUUUACUUAGACUGUAGCACUCUUUUACAACACUGGAACAAUGUAAUGCAUUAGGAAAGAGAGAAGAGGGGAAAAUGAAACCAGCAACAAAGCUGUGUCACCUCCUGUGAUUACAAGAGGCAGAAGAUCAAAUAUUAUUUUUAACAGCAGCAAACUCAGGACCAGACUUGAUAGUUGCAAACUGUGGGAAGUGCUCAGCACAUCAAUGUGCAGCAACAUGCAGAAAUUAAUCCACGAAAGAGCUGCUAAGUGGGGGGUGGGGAGAACCCACCAGAGUGAUAAUGCAUCACGGAGAGCUGUCAGUCUAAAUGAAAG
RNAcentral lists this long non-coding RNA (839 nucleotides) under Anas platyrhynchos platyrhynchos (common mallard). RNAcentral's name for it is "lncRNA (ENSAPLG00000030368.1)". Lineage: Eukaryota; Metazoa; Chordata; Aves; Anseriformes; Anatidae. The record is from RNAcentral.